GAGCUGGGGGAAAGGAUUUACAGCCCUGGGGAGGGGGAGGCUGGUCUGGUGGUUAAGGGAUGGGGUAGGUCUCAUGAACCCAGGGGUCAGUUUCCCGCUCUGUAUCUCCCAUUCCCAGCUCUCGGGCUAUAGAUGUAUCUAUCCCUCCACCCACGGGAUUUUCUUUCUAUCCGCCUGGGCAUCUUUCAAUACAAUCUUUCUUAACUCUGCGUGACCUUGGGCAAGCUAUUGAGACGAGCUUUCCCCAGGGAGCUUAAGGAAGUCGGGUUCCCCCAGCCCACUACGAAAUGGACCUCUUAGUUCAAAUUUAUACGGUGGUGGCUGAUAAAGCCACGGCCAGGUUCAGUCUCACUGUACAGACAAGGUAGCGGAGGAAGACAGUGGCAGAGCCAGGAAAAGAGGAAGUGAUUUUCAGAACAUCUUAUGAGAAUUGGGUGCCCAAAUAAUAUGAUAUCUAGGUGCCUAACUCCCUUAGGAUCGUUUGAGAACUGUGAAGCAAGUGGUAUAUUUCACUGGGAUCUGCACUCAAUUCCUUUGUGAGGGGAAAUCACCCAACUGAAAGGAUUUUCUGUCACGCUGGGGGCGGGUCCAAGAGGAUGCUCUACUGCGACUGAGGUACGGAUUUGGCCACUAGGGGUCAGCGUUUAGCAGUGGAACCAACACACUGAGGUUGCGCACAGGGACACACGGCUGUGAUGGGAGAGAAGGGGCUGGUCGCUGAUUGGCUGGGCACACGAGGGGGGAGAAGGACGUGUCCGAUCCCUCCAGCACAGGAGACCCCAACACACCUGCCGGCCCCAGGGAGAACCCAGCAGCGUCCCCGCGCCCUGGGGUGUCAGGCAGCGCAGGGAUGGGGAGGCGGCGGGGGCUGUCCUGGGUUAUCCAGCUAAUGCACCUGUGGGUGGCCAGCGGGCAGCUCUCUGUGGAGCAGAGCCCGGAAUGGCUGGAUGUCCCCGAGGGGCAGAAUGGCACCGUGACCUGCACUUACUCCAGCGCUAUCCAAAGUUUACACUGGUUCCGGCAGGCUCCCGGGGAGCGGCCCCUUUUCCUGCUGAUGCUGCACGGCAAGGGGAGGGAGACACAAGAACCGAAUUUCACUGCGGAUCACGAUCCGGGGCCGAAGCGGAGCUCCCUGCACAUCCGCGGCUGCCGGCUGGGGGACACCGCCCGCUACCUCUGCGCCGUGGAGACCCAGUGACACAGGGGGCAGCGUAGCCUGUACAGUAACUCUGGGUGGGACCCGGGAGGGGGCUGCGGGGCGCUGGGGGCGCGCCGGGCGGUGUGGGACAGAGCCCCGUGGGCAGACGGGGACAGGAGUUUAUAGCCCUGU
Non-coding RNA from Chelonia mydas (Green sea turtle), 1330 nucleotides. The record is from the annotation of a RefSeq genome assembly. NCBI's taxonomy places the organism in Eukaryota, Metazoa, Chordata, Testudines, Cheloniidae.